Long non-coding RNA from Formica exsecta, 716 nucleotides. RefSeq lists it as uncharacterized. The transcript is spliced from 3 exons. The record is from RefSeq and is a predicted model, not a curated record. NCBI's taxonomy places the organism in Eukaryota, Metazoa, Arthropoda, Insecta, Hymenoptera, Formicidae.
UCAGAUUAUUUCUCGAGAUUAUUUUGUACAUUUAUUUGUGAUUAUUUUCUACAUUUAUUAUAAUUAACAAUUAAAAACUUAUAAGAGUAUCAAAGUGUGCUUUGCGAGUCGUGUAAGUGCAAUAAAAUAAGCAUCAGACGACAGAGCAAUCUUAAGGGAGUUAUCGCUGUCUGUAAAACAAACGUGACCGCGUUCGCUUUAUGAAUGAGCAGUUGCUCGCGCGUGUUGUCGUGGAUCGCGGAUACUACGCGCGUGCUAGCGCACAGCUGAUCGAUCAUGUGAGGCGUGCGACUCACGCAACGCGACGAACAGUGAUGACCUGAUGACUGAUUGUAAAUGUCAUCGCAUCGCGGGAUUCUCGUAUUCGCGAUCGCGCUUCCGCGAUUGCCUAUGCUUUGAUCAGAGUCAUUAUUUUGAGAUUCGUUGUCUUUUGUGAAUCAAUGUAAAGUGGAAUAACCAAAUGAUAGAUAAUGGAAGGCAAAGGUCCCAUAGAGUAAUAAUCUAACAUAGAGAAAGGCUAAAAUUAUUCAUGAAUACUGCAACUACAUUGAACAAUAACUCAGAUGCAGGUUAUAACUAAACUAAACAUGAACUAUUGAUGGACGUUAUAACUCGAAUGAAAUACUUAGACGCUUUCAGAAACAUUAUCGUCGAAAUACCUAUAUUACAAAUAAUGAUUAUUACAACAUCUCAAUUCUCUAAUAUAUUUUGUGAAA